RNAcentral lists this transfer RNA (76 nucleotides) under Streptococcus pneumoniae. Its description in RNAcentral is "tRNA-Asn(gtt)". It matches the Rfam family "tRNA". Rfam says of the family: Transfer RNA (tRNA) molecules are approximately 80 nucleotides in length. Their secondary structure includes four short double-helical elements and three loops (D, anti-codon, and T loops). Lineage: Bacteria; Bacillati; Bacillota; Bacilli; Lactobacillales; Streptococcaceae. The record is from RNAcentral.
UUCCGCCAUAGCUCAGUUGGUAGUAGCGCAUGACUGUUAAUCAUGAUGUCGUAGGUUCGAGUCCUGCUGGCGGAGU